Molecule: ribosomal RNA, 419 nt
Filed under: bacterium
Lineage: Bacteria
Description: partial 16S ribosomal RNA
Rfam family: Bacterial small subunit ribosomal RNA
Source: RNAcentral
UGGGGGAUAUUGCACAAUGGGCGAAAGCCUGAUGCAGCGACGCCGCGUGGGGGAUGAAGGCCUUCGGGUUGUAAACUUCUUUUGCUCUGAACAAGGCAUGCUAAUGGGUGUGUUGAGUGUAGGGGUUGAUUAGCGCCGGCUAACUACGUGCCAGCAGCCGCGGUAAUACGUAGGGCGCGAGCGUUGUCCGGAAUUAUUGGGCGUAAAGGGCUUGUAGGUGGCUGGUUGCGUCUGUCGUGAAAGCUCAUGGCUUAACUGUGGGUUUGCGGUGGGUACGGGCUGGCUUGAGUGCAGUAGGGGAGGCGGGAAUUCCUGGUGUAGCGGUGGAAUGCGCAGAUAUCAGGAGGAAUACCGGUGGCGAAGGCGGGUCUCUGGGCUGUUACUGACACUGAGGAGCGAAAGCAUGGGGAGCGAACAGG